CGGUGAAUACGUUCCCGGGUCUUGUACACACCGCCCGUCACACCAUGGAAGUUGGCCACGCCCGAAGCCGUUACUCCAACCCUUGUGGAGGAGGACGUCGAAGGUGGGGCUGAUGACUGGGGUGAAGUCGUAACAAGGUAGCCGUACCGGAAGGUGCGGCUGGAUCACCUCCU
RNAcentral lists this ribosomal RNA (173 nucleotides) under Goniomonas pacifica. RNAcentral describes it as "partial Bacterial small subunit ribosomal RNA". It matches the Rfam family "Bacterial small subunit ribosomal RNA", at positions 1360 to 1531 of the family's 1533-position model. The record is from RNAcentral. Lineage: Eukaryota; Cryptophyceae; Goniomonadida; Goniomonadaceae.